ACCAAUUCUGAAGGAUUUUUCUGUUCCUUUUAGGUAUAAUGGCUUGGGUGCUACAUUGAAAUUCUUGUGGCUUAUCCUGAUUAUUGGCUUUGUUAUCCCUGCCAUCUAAUCCUGGAAACACCUCAUACAUAU
Small nucleolar RNA from Mercurialis annua (annual mercury), 132 nucleotides. NCBI's taxonomy places the organism in Eukaryota, Viridiplantae, Streptophyta, Magnoliopsida, Malpighiales, Euphorbiaceae. The record is from RefSeq and is a predicted model, not a curated record.